This 72-nucleotide transfer RNA is filed under the name Lactifluus piperatus. RNAcentral's name for it is "Lactarius piperatus tRNA-Gly". It matches the Rfam family "tRNA". From Rfam's summary of the family: Transfer RNA (tRNA) molecules are approximately 80 nucleotides in length. Their secondary structure includes four short double-helical elements and three loops (D, anti-codon, and T loops). Further hydrogen bonds mediate the characteristic L-shaped molecular structure. tRNAs have two regions of fundamental functional importance: the anti-codon, which is responsible for specific mRNA codon recognition, and the 3' end, to which the tRNAs corresponding amino acid is attached (by aminoacyl-tRNA synthetases). tRNAs cope with the degeneracy of the genetic code in two manners: having more than one tRNA (with a specific anti-codon) for a particular amino acid; and 'wobble' base-pairing, i.e. permitting non-standard base-pairing at the 3rd anti-codon position. The record is from RNAcentral. Lineage: Eukaryota; Fungi; Basidiomycota; Agaricomycetes; Russulales; Russulaceae.
ACGAGUAUAGUUAAAUUGGUAUAACUUCUACCUUCCAAGUAGAUAUUAUCAGUUCAAUUCUGAUUACUCGUA